Poecilia latipinna (sailfin molly) is the source of this 95-nucleotide long non-coding RNA. RefSeq lists it as uncharacterized. The transcript has 3 exons. The record is from RefSeq and is a predicted model, not a curated record. Lineage: Eukaryota; Metazoa; Chordata; Actinopteri; Cyprinodontiformes; Poeciliidae.
CCCCUUGUUUUUCCUUUCACGUAUAUGUAUCUCCUUUAUGUUUUCCUUUAAUCUGCAACACGUCUAGUGUUGGCGUGCAGGACGCAGGCUGUGCA